UGCGUUGAGUGAGGGGAGGGGGCACUAUACUAAAAUUGGAACGAUACAGAGAAGAUUAGCAUGGCCCCUGCGCAAGGAUAACACGCAAAUUCGUGAAGUGUUCCAUAUUAAA
Mastomys coucha (southern multimammate mouse) is the source of this 112-nucleotide small nuclear RNA. The record is from RefSeq and is a predicted model, not a curated record. NCBI's taxonomy places the organism in Eukaryota, Metazoa, Chordata, Mammalia, Rodentia, Muridae.